AGCGAACGCUAGCGGCAAGCUUAACACAUGCAAGUCGAGCGACGAACUUCGGUUCGGAGCGGCGGACGGGUGAGUAACGCGUAGGUAAUCUACCUUCUGGUGGGGAAUAACUCUAGGAAACUGGAGCUAAUACCGCAUAUGGCCUUCGGGUCAAAGCCUUCGGGCGCCAGUAGAUGAGCCUGCGUCCCAUUACCUAGUUGGUGGGGUAACGGCCUACCAAGGGGACGAUGGGUAGCUGGUCUGAGAGGAUGAUCAGCCACACUGGGACUGAGACACGGCCCAGACUCCUACGGGAGGCAGCAGUGGGGAAUAUUGCGCAAUGGGCGAAAGCCUGACGCAGCUAUGCCGCGUGUGUGAUGAAGGUCUCCGGAUCGUAAAGCACUGUCGAGGGGGAAGAAGUUCUGACGGUACCCCUCAAGAAAGCACCGGCUAACUCCG
RNAcentral lists this ribosomal RNA (438 nucleotides) under uncultured Myxococcales bacterium. RNAcentral's name for it is "bacterial SSU rRNA". It matches the Rfam family "Bacterial small subunit ribosomal RNA", at positions 29 to 505 of the family's 1533-position model. The record is from RNAcentral. Lineage: Bacteria; Pseudomonadati; Myxococcota; Myxococcia; Myxococcales.